Erinaceus europaeus (western European hedgehog) is the source of this 217-nucleotide long non-coding RNA. RefSeq lists it as uncharacterized. NCBI's taxonomy places the organism in Eukaryota, Metazoa, Chordata, Mammalia, Eulipotyphla, Erinaceidae. The transcript is spliced from 3 exons. The record is from RefSeq and is a predicted model, not a curated record.
GUAAGCCGGGGUCAGCAAAUGAAGAGGCGAGCAAGGCCAUUUAAAGCAACAUGGUUUAUUCAAAGGCAAUAGGUUGAAGAUGAGGAUUGCAGAUUUUGGAGUCCAGAUGUCAGCUUCUGAAUCUCAGUACUGCCUCUUUGCCAAGUGCCAACGAGUAUGCCAAAUAAGAUUUGAUGCAAAAUGAACUUUGAGUAACCCAUCAUGAUUCAUUUCAUCU